Ailuropoda melanoleuca (giant panda) is the source of this 1056-nucleotide long non-coding RNA. RefSeq lists it as uncharacterized. The transcript is spliced from 3 exons. The record is from RefSeq and is a predicted model, not a curated record. NCBI's taxonomy places the organism in Eukaryota, Metazoa, Chordata, Mammalia, Carnivora, Ursidae.
CGCUUAGGACUGCUGGUGAGGUUACCGGCCACUCGGACCGACUGCCUGCCUGACUGACGGGCGGGCCGGCGGGCGGAGGGAGGGGCGCGCGCCGAGGAGGGCGCCGGGGCGGAGUCAAGAGGCGUGCACUCGGAUUGGCUCUCAGCCGUCUGGGGGCGGGGCUGCGCGAGCCGGCGGAAGCGGCGAAGUCGGGGCGGAGCAUUGCGGCGGCAGCAGAGUCACCGCCCUGCUUGGUCACGUGCGUUCGCGGGGGAGUUGGCGCGGGAGGCGGCCCUCGAGACACAGAAGGGCAUCGAGGUGUCGAGGCGGAGCUAUAACACGGAGCCUGAGGAGACUGUCGGGGCAGGGAAAGCCCCGGAGCGGGGUACUGACUGAGACAGGGAACGACCUGGGACAGCGCGUGAGGGACGCCGGCACGCCGCACACCGGCCGCAGGCCUGCGGUAGGCCUCCCCGACUCCAUGGCCCACACACAAACUUAGAGGCCUCGAGACAAGGACAGAAACCGAAAGGCGUGACCGAGACCGCGAAAGAUAUUUGCAUACUGAGAAAGUGUGAAACACAGAGGUUGAGACUAAAGCGAGAGAGUCAGGAUCCACUCAUCAGACACAUUCGUUCCUCCAGUGUUUGUUGAGCAUCUACAGUGUUCCUGGGCAUCCACACUCUACAGUGAGGAGAUAGACAGAUUUUUCCUUUGGAAUAAUCAAAUGCAAAAGGAAAAUGUAACAAGACUGACAGCACUCUGAGGUGACUGUACACUUUGGAAGGAAGUCAUGAGGCACAGCUCAUACUUAAGGAGCGGGGAGUUACGGUCCAUCUCCUUGCAGGUGGUGUAUCUACAGAAAUUAUUUGGAAUUUUUCUGCAUGGGAGAUUCAUUUCAACAGUAUUUGAUUUUUAUAAUUUAUUUUGAAAUAAUAUCAAACUUAAUCGUUACAAGAACAGUAUAAGAACUUCUAUAUCCCCUUUCUUUCCUCCUCUCUCCCUAUAUAUAUAUGUAUAAUUUAUGCAUAUAAUAAUAUAUGUAUAGCUUAACAAACAUACAUUAACAUAUGUUAA